UUUAAAAAAAAGUUUAAGUAUUUAUUUACCUUCCCCCUGCAUCUUCAUCUGAGGAAAUGACCCAAGGUCCAACUUUAAAAAACUAGGAAGAAGUCACAGGAGGCCCCUGAGACAUUGUGGCAGGUGUCUUCCCUUCCUUCAGGUGUGUGGUCCUCCCACUCCAAAGAAGCAGGUCUGGGAAUUGUGCGAAUCUCUCACAUGUUGCCUCAAGACAGGCCUCUCUUCACUUUCUUGACCCUGAAGGUCAAGGGCGACUAUGGUGGAUUGCUUACUGAUUUAACUCUGGGAGAUCCCCGUUAAUCACCCAGAGCCCAAGAUCCUGGAAGGUAACAGGACUCCCAGAGAACCAAGCUCCACACCUGCCUUACACUCUGAGGCCCGACCCACCGUACCUCCCAGCAGAUGCUCCUCCACCCCCUCAGAAACCAGACUUCCAUCACAGCCCCUCCUGUUAGCAUUCCCUGACAGCCAGUAGAGACAGCCUUUUUAAAGAUUCUGGAACUUCCAUCACCACCUUAUUCCUUGUGGCAAGGCGGGGGGGUUGGAAUCUGUGGGUGGCGUGGGUACACAUGAGUGGAUCCAACUCAGCAUUCCUGUCUCCCACAGUCUUAGAACCUGGUCCUCUGUGUUAUGCAAGGCCUCCUAGCCUUUCUGUGUCAUUUCAAUGCCAUCAGUUGGCUUCAGCCAGUCCACUAAGUUGUUAGAACAUAGACCACAGUCCCCAAGCCAGGAUCGUCUUCUCCAUAACUAACCUCAAUCGGAUCCAGAAUCGUGUUCCUCCUUCUUGGCCAAGUACCCUCAAAAUCCAUUCCCACGUUCUCCAAAUUUCUGAUGAUGUAAAUUCGUGAACCCCUGCAAUUUCUCUGGUGUCUCUCUCCUUGCUUUGUUUCUGCUUUUCUGCCUCUAGUUUGCGGUGUACAAGCUGAAACCCCAUCACUGGGCAGGCAACAAUGAGGAGAGCUGCAAGAACACUGUUCACUUCUCCUUCAAGGGAGAAGCAUCUUCCUCAGGUUUUAAUGGAAACCCCAUAUGGUUUCUGGAGGGGAACAAAGAUAUGUCGGGGUCUAAAGGGACUCAUCCUGGUGGAGCAACGGCAGAGACAGGAGGCCCUCAGCCGAGACUGUGAAAGUCCCACGUCCUGGAACAAACUGGCAGAGAAAUGAAAAAACAAGAGUAUGAUUUCCUACAGAGGCUCUUCCCAACUCAGACACAGUGACGGUGUAUUUAAAAGUUGAUUUGGGCUCCUGGGUGGCUCAGUUGGUUAAGC
Molecule: non-coding RNA, 1267 nt
Organism: Leptonychotes weddellii (Weddell seal)
Lineage: Eukaryota; Metazoa; Chordata; Mammalia; Carnivora; Phocidae
Source: RefSeq, a predicted model, not a curated record